Molecule: non-coding RNA, 836 nt
Filed under: Glaphyromorphus pumilus (dwarf mulch-skink)
Lineage: Eukaryota; Metazoa; Chordata; Lepidosauria; Squamata; Scincidae
Source: RNAcentral
AACUUGCCAUUGUUUUUUAUCAAAAUUAUACAUGCAAGCCUCCACACACCAGUGAGAAUGCCCACACACCCCAAACAGUUAGCCGGAGCAGGCAUCAGGAUACAACACCCAUUUAGCCAAAAACGCCUUGCACACGCCACACCCCCACGGGCCCUCAGCAGUAAUUAACAUUAAGAUAUGAGCGAAAGCUCGACUUAGUUAUGAUCAAUAAUGGUCGGUAAAUUUCGUGCCAGCCACCGCGGUUAUACGAAAGGCCAGAAACAAUUGACUAGCGGCGUAAAGCGUGACUAGGGCUACAAACGGUCUAGAGGAGAACAGCUGCCCGGUCGUAAAACACUAACGCAUGCUAGAAUUACAACAAAGCGCCUUUAAAAGUACCUUACCUCACGAAAGCCAAGAAACAAACUGGGAUUAGAUACCCCACUAUGCUUGGCCCUAAACAUAAAUAGUAUAAACACAAUACUAUUCGCCAGAGAACUACAAGCGAAAAGCUAAAAACUCUAAGGACUUGGCGGUGCUUCAAAUCUACCUAGAGGAGCCUGUCCUAUAAUCGAUACCCCACGUUAUACCCAACCCCUCCUAGCCAGUCAGCCUAUAUACCGCCGUCGUCAGCCUACCUUAUGAAAGAAGUAGAGUAGGCAAAAAAGUUAUUGACUAACACGCCAGGUCAAGGUGUAGCAUAUGGAGCGGCAGAGAUGGGCUACAUUUUAUCAAAGAAAAAAUACGAAUGGUAAACUGAAACACACACUUGAAGGCGGAUUUAGUAGUAAAAUAAGCAAGAAUGCUUAUUUUAAACUCGCUCUGAAGCACGCACACACCGCCCGUCACCCUCAUCA